AUUGAACGCUGGCGGAAUGCUUUACACAUGCAAGUCGAGCGGCAGCGCGGGGCAACCUGGCGGCGAGCGGCGAACGGGUGAGUAAUGUAUCGGAACGUACCCAGUCGUGGGGGAUAACUAUCCGAAAGGAUAGCUAAUACCGCAUACGUCCUGAGGGAGAAAGCGGGGGAUCGCAAGACCUCGCGCGAUUGGAGCGGCUGAUAUCGGAUUAGCUAGUUGGUGAGGUAAAGGCUCACCAAGGCGACGAUCCGUAGCUGGUCUGAGAGGACGACCAGCCACACUGGAACUGAGACACGGUCCAGACUCCUACGGGAGGCAGCAGUGGGGAAUUUUGGACAAUGGGCGCAAGCCUGAUCCAGCCAUGCCGCGUGAGUGAAGAAGGCCUCGGUGUAAG
Molecule: ribosomal RNA, 394 nt
Filed under: uncultured bacterium
Lineage: Bacteria
Description: bacterial SSU rRNA
Rfam family: Bacterial small subunit ribosomal RNA
Source: RNAcentral